This 484-nucleotide ribosomal RNA is filed under the name uncultured bacterium. Its description in RNAcentral is "partial 16S ribosomal RNA". It matches the Rfam family "Bacterial small subunit ribosomal RNA", at positions 29 to 523 of the family's 1533-position model. The record is from RNAcentral.
AGUGAACGCUGGCGGCGUGCUUAACACUUGCAAGUCGAACGAGAACGGAUUAUAGCUUGCUAUAAUUGUCAGCUAAGUGGCGCACGGGUGAGUAAUGUAUAGGUAAUAUGCCUCUUACUAAGGGAUAACAAUUGGAAACGAUUGCUAAUACCUUAUAUUCCUUUUUAUCAAAAGAUAAAAAGGGAAAGAUUUAUUGGUAAGAGAUUAGCCUGUAUUGUAUCAGUUAGUUGGUGGGGUAAUGGCCUACCAAGACGAUGACGCAUAACUGGUUUGAGAGGAUGAUCAGUAACACUGGAACUGAGACACGGUCCAGACUCCUACGGGAGGCAGCAGUGGGGAAUAUUGCACAAUGGACGAAAGUCUGAUGCAGCAACGCCGCGUGGAGGAUGACACAUUUCGGUGCGUAAACUCCUUUUAUAUGAGAAGAUAAUGACGGUAUUAUAUGAAUAAGCACCGGCUAACUCCGUGCCAGCAGCCGCCGUAA